Molecule: ribosomal RNA, 445 nt
Filed under: uncultured bacterium
Lineage: Bacteria
Description: partial 16S ribosomal RNA
Rfam family: Bacterial small subunit ribosomal RNA
Source: RNAcentral
UUGAGGAAUAUUGCGCAAUGGAGGCAACUCUGACGCAGCCAUGCCGCGUGCAGGAAGAAGGCGCUACGCGUUGUAAACUGCUUUUAACCGGGAAGAAACCCCAGGACGUGUCCUGGGUUGACGGUACCGGAGGAAUAAGCACCGGCUAACUUCGUGCCAGCAGCCGCGGUAAUACGAAGGGUGCAAGCGUUAUCCGGAUUCAUUGGGUUUAAAGGGUGCGUAGGCGGAGCGUUAAGUCAGUGGUGAAAUCCUGCAGCUUAACUGUAGACUUGCCAUUGAUACUGGCGCUCUUGAGUGCGCUUGAAGUGGGCGGAAUGUGCCGUGUAGCGGUGAAAUGCUUAGAUAUGGCACAGAACACCAAUUGCGAAGGCAGCUCACUAAGGCGAUACUGACGCUGAGGCACGAAAGCGUGGGGAUCGAACAGGAUUAGAUACCCCGGUAGUCC